This 168-nucleotide unclassified non-coding RNA is filed under the name soil metagenome. RNAcentral's name for it is "partial internal transcribed spacer 1". The record is from RNAcentral.
GUGAAUUAAACAUGCUUGGUGUCUUCGCUUCGGCAAGGCCCGUGCUUAAAUCACAUCCAACACCUGUGAACUGUAAGACGUAUGAUGAGGGAUCUUUGGCCAAGUCAUCGUCUGCCCAUUUUUAACAAACAAUUAAUGUACCAAACGUAGUCUUAUUAUAACCUAAUA